GAUGAACGCUGGCGGCGUGCCUAAUACAUGCAAGUCGAGCGGACAGACGCGGAGCUUGCUCCUCUGACGUUAGCGGCGGGCGGGUGAGUAACACGUGGAUAACCUACCUAUAGGACUGGGAUAACUUCGGGAAACAGGAGCUCAUACCGGAUAAUAUAUUGAACCGCAUGGUUCAAUAGUGAAAGACGGUUUUGCUGUCACUUAUAGAUGGAUCCGCGCCGCAUUAGCUAGUUGGUAAGGUAACGGCUUACCAAGGCGACGAUGCGUAGCCGACCUGAGAGGGUGAUCGGCCACACUGGAACUGAGACACGGUCCAGACUCCUACGGGAGGCAGCAGUAGGGAAUCUUCCGCAAUGGGCGAAAGCCUGACGGAGCAACGCCGCGUGAGUGAUGAAGGUCUUCGGAUCGUAAAACUCUGUUAUUAGGGAAGAACAAAUGUGUAAGUAACUAUGCACGUCUUGACGGUACCGAAUCAGAAAGCCACGGCUAACUACGUG
RNAcentral lists this ribosomal RNA (497 nucleotides) under uncultured bacterium. RNAcentral describes it as "partial 16S ribosomal RNA". It matches the Rfam family "Bacterial small subunit ribosomal RNA", at positions 28 to 507 of the family's 1533-position model. The record is from RNAcentral.